AUAUCAAUUAUAUCAUGAGAUUAUGAGACACUUAUAUAUUUAACUAAACAACAAACUAAGGAAAGUAAGACAAUGGAGAAUUAGAGCUCCAAGUAGUAGAUUAUUGUGAAGGAAACUCAAGGUAGUGAGGGAAAAUAAUUGAAUCUUGAAUAGAGAAACAAUAUUGAGUUAGAUGUCAAGAUAAAUUUUCUCUUACCAUAUGUGCUCUUAAAGAAUUGGUGAGCUGGUCAGCAAGUACUUACUGAAUUCCUGUAGGAUUGGCGAGCAUGUUAGGGAAUACGGACAUGUCAUUGAAGAUUUUGAAACUGGAAACAAAUAAAACCUCACAAAAAAGCACAGGAAAGGAUAAUCCUUAAAAGAAUCAAACAGGCAGAGAGUUUCAUAGAUGUCCUUCUAGUCUCUCUCGUUCUGUGACUGUAUAUUUUGGCAAAAUAUAAUGAGUUUGCCUGCCUUCAGACGGGACAAAAAGAAAAGACCUAAAGUUCCUUGUGAAUACCAAAGCUCAUGGCCAAGGCCGGAGAGACACUGAUUAGGGAAACGAGACUUGAAAAUGAGAAAAAGAAGAAUCACAGGUGACAGAUGUACUGAGAGAAAAAUAGAAUGGCUUAAACUUUGGACAAAUGAUCAUGAAAAAGGGAGAGAAAUAAGACAUCUGCAAAGACCAAAAAUAAAAUCAAGUUCACAAUGAGGAAAUCAAGGGAGGAAGUGUCAUAAGACAAAAUGAUAGUCAUUCUCCGUCGUCAAAUACCAGUUCAGAACCAUUUUAGAGAAGAAAUUUAUGUGGCUCUAGAGCAUGGCGCUAUAUGCUUCUGAUGGUUUGGUAUUAGUUCUUCCUAGGGAACUAUGACCACCUUUAUGGGCCUCUGUUGCUCUCAAGGUAGGAAAACUUACCACUUGUGUACCCUUGGGUCUUUGAAGGGUUGGUGGAGAAAGCUUUAUGCUUGAUGUUUGAACAUCCAACAAAGAAAAUUAAAUUCCUCCCAUGAAACUAAAAGGAGAGUCAAAUUGAUUUUAGGAAUUUUCUAAAUAAAUUCAUCCGUUAUGUAUUUCUAAAUAAUUUGAUGUGCUUACGAAUACAAGUGAAUCAAGCUGAGGAGAAUAACGAAGCGCCUACAGAAUAGUCAUGGAGUCCAGGAUUAGUUCUAGACAUGCUGAAAAAGUAAGGAAUAUUAAUUACCUCCUCAUACUCUGUCCCUUUCUUUCUCCUUGGUGAGUGCUAUAAGCCAAAUGUUUGUGUCCCUCAUCCCCUCCCACCCACCAAUUCAGAUGUUGAAACCCAGUCCCCAGUGUGCUGAUACUGGGAGGUAAGCCCUCACAGAGAUGAUUGGUCUUGAGGAUGGAUCUGUCAUGAAUGGGGUUAUGAAUGGUCUUGCAUUAAUGUCGAUGGCUGCUGACUGCUCAUAGUGGUGGUUGCUGAAUGUGGGGGUGGCUGUGGUUCUCACCUACAAUUGCAUGCAGAAUUCCUCAGGGUUUCCAAUCCCUUGAAUCUGAUUCACAAGCUUGUGUUGGAAUCCCUGAGAAGGUGAACACACACACCUUGAGGGGGCAGAACCCAGACCAAAAGGAAGUAGCCAUGUCUGUGUGACUACUUGAUUUUUCUUUUAUGCCCUUGAGAUCAGAUUCUUUGUUUCCAAUGGAAAAAUUGGAACAUAUGCAACAAUACCAGAGAAUAUUUAUGUCACUUCCUAGUGCAGAAUAGGCUGAUGAAAUAACACCUGAUUUACUUUCUGAGGCAACUGUCUGUGUAAUUAAAACAGUUACAACACAAAUUGAGAAUCACAAGGCCUCAAUUCCAAAUCAGAGUUAGUGGAAAUUGGGGCACCUUAAACUGAUAGUUUCCAUAGGGAGGGUGAGUAAAGCUAUGGCAUUGAUGCAGUAAUUAUUGGAUAAGCUCAAGGAAGACUAUGGAAAGAAAUCAGAAAUGGGUUAGUAGGAACCUGCUUUCCCAUGGACAUUGGCAUAAGCAAGGAAAAGACCUUUGUGAGGACAAUACUGUUUAAAUUUUCCCAGACUGGGGUCAAAUCUGAGCUACAGCUGCUGGCCUUCCCCACAGCCACAGCAACUCAGGAUCCAAGCCACAUCUGUGACCUAUACCACAGCUCACGGCAACACCUGAUCCCCUACCCACUGAGCAAGGCCAGUGAUCGAACACUCAUCCUCAUGGAUACUAGUCGGCUUUGUUUCUGCUGCUGCCAUAAUGGGAAUUCCAAUACUGUUAACUUUCUAAACAUUGUCUGGUUUAUAUUUCCUUUUAUAUGAUGUCACUGUCCUUACUAAUUUUGUCUUGAUUAGGAGACUUUUAUUUUUAGCAUCAAUUUUAUAAAUUCUGCCUUUUUAUUGGUAUUUUCUAUUUGAUAAAACAUUGUCUUUAUAUCAGGCUUGACUUCUAAAGCGUGAUUUACUUUAGUUUUUGAAUGUAUUUCUUUAUGGCUAUUUUGAAGUCUUUGUUAAAUCUGACGUCUGGCCCUUCUCAGACAGAGACAGUUUCUUUUGCUUGCUUUUUUGCCUGAGUAUGUGUCAAACAUUCCUAUUCAUUUGCACUUCUCAUGCUGUUGUGGCUGAUGUUGAAAGCUGAACAUUUUUGGUAAUAUAACAACUCUAGACACUGAUUCCCUUCCCUGCCCUCCGGGCUUGUUGUUAUUUGCUUGUUUAUUUGUUUUGUGACUUAGCUAAGAUAUUUUUGUGACGUCUACUUCUACAGUGUGGAGCGGUGUGAAACCUCAGAGGAUACAUGAAUAGGUCCAUAAACCUUCUCACACUGUCACCCUGGAAAUGGAACUCCAUAUGGUAUGUCGACUAUGAACAUUUUUCUUGCGUUUAUCGCCAAUCCUUUUAAAAAAUAGAAAUAUCAGAGUUUAGUAUUCUAAUUUUUUCUUUCAGUGUCUUAAACAUGUUUUGGUUUUUUUUAAGUAGCGUUAUUUUUUGUUAAGGUCAUGAUUUUUAAUGGCUGCUUUGCUGUUUUACUCUAUGUUGUUACAACCAAUUCUCUAGGGAGACCCUUAGCCAUUCUUGCUGCUACAGUUUUCUGUCCUCUGUUCUCUGCAGUCUUAUGCUUUAUCAGCAGAAUUUUCAUUCUAAAGCAGAGAUAUGAUCUUUAUUAGGAUUCUGUUGUAUAUAAGAGAAAUACUAGAUAUGGGGGUACAUGGCUUAAGCUCCUCACCCCCAAGGUUCUGGUCCUAAGUGUGGGAUGAUGUUCCUAAUUGUAAGAACCUUCAGCUUCCUACCCCAGCAACUCCUUGAGGCUUUCCCACUAAUGCAAAUCCUUAAUUUUCUAUCUACAUGGGCACCUGCCUACCCCUGUGAUACCUCGAAUAUGCUUGCUUCUUUGUUGUACUUUUGCACUAUGCCAUUGUAAAUUCCUGUCUCUCUUCUGUUAGAAAAUUAACAGACUUUUCCCUGGGGCUUACAGCCAGAAAUUCUUCUCUCUCUCCCAUACUGGAGUAGCUCUUUGUGAUGAGUCUUUUCUAGGGAGAUUUGUACUCUGUUAUAAUGAUCACUUUAUAUGACUGUGUUCAUUUAGUAAUUACUUUAGGUGUCUGGUUAUUCUCUCCUAUUGUCUUCCUCCUUCUUUUUAUUUGUUAAAAGACCUCCUCUGUGCCCAGCAUGUCGAUGUGGAAGUGCUGGUGUUAUUUUCACACUAUUAGAAUUAACAGUAUAAUUAAGAGAAUAGGACCUACAUUAAUUUUCUUCCCGGGGUUGUCUUUGUGGUUUUUCACAUAUAACAUCCUUUGUUUCUCAUUAAAUAAAACAUUUAGAAUGUUUUAGUCCUCAUAAAAGACCUUGGUUGUUACUGGCAAUUUAAUUUUUUUUAAAAAAUAAAAACAAUGUGUGGGUGGUAUAGAGAGUAUCAGGCAGUGAUGGCCCUCUUUAUACAAUAGCAAGAAGCAGUAUUGUGAGACCUGAUUGUUUGGGUGUAGAUGUGGCACCCAAAAAUUUGGAAAUGGUUUUAUUCUAUAGGCAAAAGGAGGAAAAAAAACCUUUAGAGAUAACAGAAUUUAACAGGUAACUCUGUGCUCAUUAAAUAACUACAGGUAGGAUGAUAACCCAUGAGCUUACAGAUCAAAAUUUGAGUCAGGCUGGAACUCUGCCCUCUUUGGGAUCAGCUCAUAGACUAUUUCAAGUAUGCUGCGUUUUUGAUGUUGGUGGAGAGGGAAGGUGUAUCAAGAAGGAGCUAAUUAAAUACUUUGUUACUGCUCUGUUUUGUGAAAAUGAGAUAAAGUCUCUCCAGGAACUUUUUUCUUUAUUAACUUGACCUUAAAUUACUUUUUCUCUGACUCUACCCAGGACAUCUUAAAAGCCUAUGCCGCUUUCUCCGUAUAAAAUCUAUAUCCCAAAAUAGUGCAGACACUCAAGACAGAAGUGUCUUAUGUUUGCUUUUUGGGUGGAAGGUUUUCAAGUACCACAAGCUUUACUAACAAUCUGAUAUCCAGUACCUUAGGUACAGUUAUUGAAGCAUAAAGAAGAUAACACACUUUAAAAAUGCCCAGAGAUGUAUUAAUCUGCUUGGCUGCUUUAACAAAAAACAAUUUAGACCAGGUAGCUUAAAGCACAUUUAUUUUUUCAUAAUUCUAGAGGCUAAAAGUCUAGGAUCAAGGUCCUGGCAUAUUCAGUUCCUGGUGAGAACCUUCCUCCUGGCUUGCAGAUGGCCACCUUCUUGCUCUAGUCUUUUCUUACAAGGACACUAAAUCCCGUGAUGGGGCCCCACCCUUCUGACCUCAUCUAAACUUAUAUACCUCCUAAAGGUCCAUCUCAAAUAGAAUCACUUGGAGUUGAGGACUUCAACAUAUGAAUUUGGGGAGUACAUAAACGUUCAGUACAUAACAGGUGACCUCUCACAUUUAUCACUGGAUCUUAAGAUAAUCAUAAAGUCCACCUCCCUGGCUCCUAAAGGCAUAUAUGCUCCUGCACACUGGAGGAGGGUUAACCUCACCGAGAAUCAGAGUUCAGUAGCCCUAAGAGAAAACGUAGCAUGCAGGAGUCUCUCUCUCUCUCUCUCUCUGGCUUUUUUUGGUAUAUAAACAACAUACCAUGCUAAUUAUUUAAUUUCAAGUGUACAAUUCAACAGAGGAAUCUCUUUGUGAGUGUUGUGGAGGGGCUGUUCUUAAAUGACGCAAAGAUGCGAUAAAGGAGAAUGUUUGAGAAUCUCCCUCAUGAAGAGAGUUAAGGAGUUCCCCUCACGGCUUAGUGGUCACAAAUCUGACUAGUAUCCAUGAGGACGUGGGUUCGAUCCCUGGCCUCGCUCAGUGGGUUAAGGAUCUGGCAUUGCUGUGAACUCUGGUAUUGGUCGCAUACAUGGCUCGGAUCCUGCGUUGCUGUGGUGUAGGCCAGCAGCUGCAGCUCUGAUUCCACCCCUAGCCUGGGGAAUUCCAUAUGCCAUGGGUGUGGCCCUUAAAAAAAAAAAAAAAAAAAGAGUUGAUUAGUGACAAGGACACAUCUAGCUCAGAAACAGUAAUAUUUCUGCUGUGAACUAUAGACCUAGUCUAUUUUGUGAGAAAUGCUUCAUAGAUAAUUCCAAAUGAAUGUUGGCUCUUAUUCUUCAUUGGUUUAAAUACAGGUCUUAAAUAUAGCAUGUUUUUACUGCCUUGGAUGGUCUCUUGUAUUCCAUUCAUUUCAUAAUGAUUUUUAUUUUUUUUCCAUUAUAGCUGAUUUACAGUGUUCUGUCCUUUCAUUUCGAAAUGAGGUUAUUUGCUUUUUUUUUUCCCCUUCAAAUCUUUAAAUGAGGUUAUUUGUGAUAGAACAGAACAGGGGAUGAUUUCACUGUGGGUCAAGCAUUUGGCAAGGGCACAGGUAAGGGCUAUAAAAGAAAGGGAGCAUCUUGGGGAAGGUAGAGUGGUAGCAUUGGCUAGCUCCACACCCACUAAGUCUUUGGACUUAGUUUUUAUAAUAUAAAGUCUAAGUCUAAGUCUUUGGACUUAGUUUUUAUAAUAUAAAGUCUAUUUCUGUUGUCUGUCUUGUCAAGGCUGCCGGGUGGGGAUGGUGACUUCUCUGUACUCUGCGUGCUCUUACUACCUGUUGCCUCUGUACACAGACAGGCAGCUGCAAUAACAAGGAGUAAUAAAUCAGGUGCUGAGCUUAUGGCAGGAGUUACAAAUUAUUCAAGACUUUGACGUGGGAGCUUGGACUAAGAAUACCCAGGUAAUGCUGCAAUCAAUCACAGAGUAGAAAAAAAGUGCCUCUGUCUGCCGAGAGAAAUCAGAGAAGGCUGUCUCAGAACCUUGUCAAGUGACCUUGUAGUCGGUGACAGCAGCAAAGGGGCCUGUUCUUGAAAAUCAUCAGGACAGUAUUCUGGCUGCCUCUCCUAAUGGAAAUGUUGAGUGUGUCACCUGGACUUUCCCCCCUUUCUCUCAGAAACUAUUGUGAUAAAAUUACCUUGGAAGAACAUUGGAUGUUUAUUUUUGAAGCCAGUCAUCUCUUGUUCAAAAGUAACUGAAUAUCAAUAAAGAAAGAAAGAAAGGAAAGAAAGAAAAAGGGAGUUCCCUUCAUGGCUCAGUGGUUAACAAACCUGACUCCUGACUAGGAUCCAUGAGAAUGAGGGUUCAAUCCCUGGCCUUGCUCAGUGGGUUAAGGAUCGGGCAUUGCCAUGAGCUGUGGUGUGAGUUGCAGACACAGCUCAGAUCCUGUAUUGCUGUAGCUCUGGUGUAGGCUGGCUCUGAAUCAACCCCUAGCCUGGGAACUUCCAUAUGCUGAGAAGGUG
This 6694-nucleotide long non-coding RNA is filed under the name Sus scrofa (pig). RNAcentral describes it as "lncRNA (ENSSSCG00000042510.2)". The record is from RNAcentral. Lineage: Eukaryota; Metazoa; Chordata; Mammalia; Artiodactyla; Suidae.